GAACCAGCGGGCCACCUCAGGGUGAAUCAAUGAGAUCAGUUUGAACCAGUGUGCCCACUCAGGGUGGAUCAAUGAGAUCAAGGACCACGACAUGGGCACUGACACGAUCCGUCCCAAAUCACCUUAAUGGACUUGACACGUGUCAUGCGCUGAUGAUAGAUACCAACUAAAUACCUAACCCACCACCAAGACAACUUUGACUUGCUUGACUGAAAAAUAUUUUUAACAGAAUGUUGACAGAUUUUCUCCUGAAAUACGAACUAAAACCACCUGAACAAUAACCAAUUUUCCUCAAAUCAAUACCUAUAAUAUAAAUCAGGGUAUGCCAGUCCCUCAAAAUACAAACUAUUCAAAUAAAAUGCUGGAAAAUCAAUAUUUACUUGCUUUACAACCAACAAUCCUCAAAUAUAAUAAAAAUACCAAAUACCUAAUGAGCUCAUAAUGAACCUUUCUGAUUUAAGCUACAUGCAUCCCAAAAGAACAUCUAAUGUAUAAUCUGAUAAAGGAUGUAUACAACCUAUGAUGCGUGGCUCAAUUCGGUGGUUCGACAGGCUUCAAAAGUGCUCAAAUCAUAUGCUUUCUGUCUGAUAAAGAAAAAGGUGAAAAUAUAUUUAUGAGCUUAAAGCUCAAUGAGUGGAUAAUUUACAAAUAAACAUAUUUUUCUUUUAUGCAUAUAUUCUGAAAAUUCUUGCUCCAUCAAAACCUUGAGAAAUUC
This 715-nucleotide long non-coding RNA is filed under the name Olea europaea subsp. europaea. Lineage: Eukaryota; Viridiplantae; Streptophyta; Magnoliopsida; Lamiales; Oleaceae. The record is from RNAcentral.